Molecule: microRNA, 23 nt
Filed under: Bos taurus (domestic cattle)
Lineage: Eukaryota; Metazoa; Chordata; Mammalia; Artiodactyla; Bovidae
Description: bta-miR-3956
Source: miRBase by way of RNAcentral
ACGUGGAUGCUGAAGGUCAGAGG